CAUAUACAAGUUAUCUACCCAGAACGGACAAUGCGAUGGCCUUUAGUUUAUCCCCAGGGUUGUACAGUCAUCACCACAGUCACAUAUGUCCAUAUAUGUGGUGGAUAUUCCAUCACCUGUUGCCCCUUCGCUGUCACCCCCAAAAUCUCCAGUGUUGACCAAUGACCGCUCUGCUUUCUCUCUCUGGAUCUGUGGUCUGGACAUUUCAUAGAAAUAGAAUCACAGUACAGUAUUUGCCCUCUUGUGUAUGGUUCUUCACUUAGCAUAAUGUUUUCUUUUCAGCGCUGGAGAUUGAACCCAGGGCCUUGCACAUGCUAGGCAAGUGCUCUCCCACUGAGCCACACCCUAACCCAGCAUUGUCUUCGAAGUUCAGCCAUGUUCUGUCAGCAGGUAGCUAUGGAUCAGGGCCAUAUGGACAACAGGAAGCAGGAUGGAGACCCCACCGGCUGUCCCUUGCUGCUGCUCCCUGCGCUGCCCGCGGG
Molecule: long non-coding RNA, 482 nt
Filed under: Heterocephalus glaber (naked mole-rat)
Lineage: Eukaryota; Metazoa; Chordata; Mammalia; Rodentia; Bathyergidae
Description: lncRNA (ENSHGLG00100038974.1)
Source: RNAcentral